Molecule: long non-coding RNA, 2200 nt
Organism: Helianthus annuus (common sunflower)
Lineage: Eukaryota; Viridiplantae; Streptophyta; Magnoliopsida; Asterales; Asteraceae
Exons: 4
Source: RefSeq, a predicted model, not a curated record
UUAGGUUCAAUUUUGUGGUUUCUGUAGUUCAUUUUAAAAGGAAAAUAAAAGAAAUAGGCUUUAUUAAGAUUAAGGAUUAUAUGUGUUUAGAAGGUUUUGUGGUUUCUGUAGUUCAAUUUUGUGGUUCCUGUAGUUCAUUGCCAGAGUUUAUCACUGAUACAAGGUUUUAUUGCAGCUACUUUUAUUGUGCUUGUUUCAUCUCGUCACACAACAUUGAUAAUUAUGAUCAUGACCAGUUCUAUAUAUGCCUUACAAUAUAUUUUAGCUUUCAACUGUCGUGGCUGGCCAUUUUGUUGUAGGUUAAUGGGUACAGGUCAAAGCUGAGUUCGGUUAGAAACGCGCCAUUGGGUACAGACCCAUAAAACCAGUUAGCAACUGUCCAGAUUUUUUAACCUUUUCAUCAUCGUAUUCCACGAAAGCACUCCGUAAAACAAACACUCUGUAUGUUUGCAGAUGUUUUCCCAGAAGUGGAUUCGAAUGUAAACAAUGCGUUUGAUUCGACAAAAGCAACAGGUAAAUCUAAAGCCGUGGCUGGAAAAGGUUUUAUGGAUUAUGUUGAGGAAAUCAAACAGAAGACUACUGUUACAGUUGUUGAUAUGAUGAACACUUUAUCUGAUACUUUCCAGUCCUUUUUUGGCAGUUCACUGAAAGAUGGGGUUACUGUGAAUCCAAAUGGAACCGCUGGCAUAUCUAUGGAGCACACUGCUGUUGGAGCGACCCUUAUGGGACUCGCUAUCAUGGUUAUCAGUGUGGUUAUUCUUAAUCACUCAUAAUUUGUCGAUUACGCUAAUAAAGUUGUUUCGCUAUAAAUGCAUAUAUCCAGUUUGUUUGAAUCUUGUAAUGAAACUUGGAAAAUCUUGUUUUAUGUUCGAACGAUAAGCCCGUCUCAUCCUGCUUUAACCAUACAUUGCCUCCUUUAUUGUUCGCAUCCUCAGCAUCUUGUAUCUUGUUAUUCAGAUCCCUAGAAACAUCUGCAGAGGACGUUGUUUGGUUAACAACAGCAUCAGCCGAAUGCACCAGGUGAAUGACCCUAUUAACCUCAUCAGCAGAAGACAUAUCAACAUGAUGUAUAUUCUGAAUUCUGUUCUUGUUGUGUAAGGCCUGAAUAGGAGGAGACGUAGUCCGUUGCAAUAACUAGAUCUCACAAUUUAAAAAAAUGUGCUUACAUCCUGACAUUGAUUCAUUUCUGUGAUCUUACCCUUUGUGCUUUUAACAUGUUUUGUUUAUAGAGAUGUUGAAUUUUUAACAGUUGCAAUAUUGGCAUGCAUCUACUAGUUGCCUGCCUCUGUGUGCUGGUUUUCUUGUGCUGCAUGGUUUGUCUCAGAUUCGACCCGAUCAAAAAAUCUCAGGUGCAACGCCACUAGUUAUAUGUUUUACAUGAUCUCAACGUGAAUAUCGGGAGGACAUUAUGACCAUGGUUUAAUUGAUGGGGGCACAAGUUUCGAAACCGCUAAUUGUAACCAAGGUUACUCAUCUUAUAUGCUACAAAUUUGAAGGUGUGUUGUAUUAACUUUAAUUCACUUAUGCAUUUUCUCUAGGUGGCUUUUUUAUCGAACAAUAUAUUAAGAGCCUACCAUGUUUACAGGUAUGCGUGUGUUCUAUUACUCCAUCUAGAAGUGUAACUUCUAGUUAGCGGGUUUUAAUUGAUUAAAAAACUACAUCAGUACAAAAAUAGAGAUUGCAUGCUUCAAGAAUUUACUUUGGGCAUCUUUUGACCCUAUUGACCCAUUCAUCAUAUUUUUAGCAAUGUUUUAGUUCAUCAAUUGACCUGUCUAAGGCAGAUGAUAAUUCAAUUCGACUCAUUAUAAACCGAAGGGUAAACAUUCUCAUCACGAACUCUCUUGUUGUUAUGGUGAUGGCAAUUGCGACAACUUGGGGUAUUGAAAAAAGAACCCAAUCUUUUGGCUGACGAGCUUAAAGUGAUGUCAAAAGAAGUUGAGUAUAGUCAGUUGGUUGAUGUAGCGACAAUAAGUAGUAAGUGCUGGGAACUAUGAAGUGGAAGUAUGACUACUAAGAAAACGUUAACACGAUGAUUAUUUAACUCGCAUGAAGAUUGUGAAAGAGAUUCAUGAAAACAAUGAAGUUUUGAGUUUUUAUUCUUACACUUGUUAGUUUAUUUGGGUUAUAUGUUUGAUCAUUAGACUUAGAUUGACACUUAUUAGACAUUUGGAAUCUUUGGAAGAUUGAUUGAACUUUUAAU